RNAcentral lists this ribosomal RNA (673 nucleotides) under Pleosporales sp. UAMH 10669. RNAcentral's name for it is "eukaryotic LSU rRNA". The stretch from base 318 to 471 matches the Rfam family "5.8S ribosomal RNA". The record is from RNAcentral. Lineage: Eukaryota; Fungi; Ascomycota; Dothideomycetes; Pleosporales.
CUACUACCGAUUGAAUGGCUCAGUGAGGCUCUCGGACUGGCUCAGGGAGGUUGGCAACGACCACCCCGAGCCGGAAAGUUCGUCAAACUCGGUCAUUUAGAGGAAGUAAAAGUCGUAACAAGGUUUCCGUAGGUGAACCUUCGGAAGGAUCAUUACUGUAACGCAAAUCGUAGGCUCGCCCACAACGGGAGGGCCGACCAUUUCGUCACCCUUGAUUUUGAGCACCUUUUGUUUCCUCGGCGGGUUCGCCCGCCAGCGAGGACCCAUUAAACUCUUUGUAUUAGCAAUAUUUGUCUGAAAAACAUACCAAUAAUCAAAACUUUCAACAAUGGAUCUCUUGGUUCUGGCAUCGAUGAAGAACGCAGCGAAAUGCGAUAAGUAGUGUGAAUUGCAGAAUUCAGUGAAUCAUCGAAUCUUUGAACGCACAUUGCGCCCCUCGGUAUUCCGUGGGGCAUGCCUGUUCGAGCGUCAUUUAACCCCUCAAGCUCAGCUUGGUAUUGGGUGCUUGUUCCGCCUCCGCGCGGCGACUCACCUCAAAAUCAGUGGCAGCCCGCACCAGCCGGCCGUGAGCGCAGCACAUACGCGCCCUAGGCUCUUUGGCAGGUCGGCUCUCCAGAAGCACUUCUUCCACUUUUGACCUCGGAUCAGGUAGGGAUACCCGCUGAACUUAAGC